AGUAUCUAACCAUCAGAGACAGAGAAAGUAUAGAAAUAUAAGAUUAGAUCUGUCAGAGUUUAUAUAUCUAUGUACAAGAAAACGAAAACUCAUACAAGAAAAAACUCAUUUUGUAUCAGUUUCCUCACACUGUUGAUUGAUCUACACAAGUAUACCAAACCUAUUGAAGUUUUCUUGUAGAUAUAUAGAUAUAUACUCACCAGUUAAUUUCCACUCCAAUUCUUGAUUCUUUUCGUUGUCUCUAUACGUACGUACACUGCUUGUUUUAAUUAUAUAUUAUUCUUUGUUUCAAUUCUUUCCUUUAAUUUCCAAUACAUGAUCAUUUGGAGUAGUGAUCUGCUAUACUUUGCAUCACCU
RNAcentral lists this unclassified non-coding RNA (357 nucleotides) under Hevea brasiliensis (rubber tree). The record is from RNAcentral. Lineage: Eukaryota; Viridiplantae; Streptophyta; Magnoliopsida; Malpighiales; Euphorbiaceae.